GUCGAGCGGUAACAGAGAGAAGCUUGCUUCUCUGCUGACGAGCGGCGGACGGGUGAGUAAUACUUGGGAAUUUGCCUUUAGGCGGGGGACAACCACGGGAAACUGUGGCUAAUACCGCAUAAUGUCUACGGACCAAAGUGGGGGACCUUCGGGCCUCACACCUAAAGAUGAGCCCAAGCGGGAUUAGCUAGUUGGUGGGGUAAAGGCUCACCAAGGCGACGAUCCCUAGCUGUUCUGAGAGGAUGAUCAGCCACACUGGGACUGAGACACGGCCCAGACUCCUACGGGAGGCAGCAGUGGGGAAUAUUGCACAAUGGGGGAAACCCUGAUGCAGCCAUGCCGCGUGUGUGAAGAAGGCCUUCGGGUUGUAAAGCACUUUCCGCGACGAGGAAGGAGUGUGUGUUAAUAGCGCACAUUAUUGACGUUAGUCGCAANAAAAAAGCACCGGCNAAAUNCNUGCCACCGCCGCGGU
This 472-nucleotide ribosomal RNA is filed under the name Idiomarina sp. HPB-54. Its description in RNAcentral is "bacterial SSU rRNA". It matches the Rfam family "Bacterial small subunit ribosomal RNA", at positions 61 to 521 of the family's 1533-position model. Lineage: Bacteria; Pseudomonadati; Pseudomonadota; Gammaproteobacteria; Alteromonadales; Idiomarinaceae. The record is from RNAcentral.